UGCAGUCGAACGCGAAAGCUCUUUCGGGAGCAAGUAGAGUGGCGGACGGGUGAGUAAUACGUAGGAAUCUGCCCUAUAGUGGGGGACAACCCGGGGAAACUCGGGCUAAUACCGCAUAAUCUCUUCGGAGGAAAGCGGGGGAUCUUCGGACCUCGCGCUUUAGGAUGAGCCUACGUCGGAUUAGCUUGUUGGUGAGGUAAAGGCUCACCAAGGCGACGAUCCGUAGCUGGUCUGAGAGGACGAUCAGCCACACUGGGACUGAGACACGGCCCAGACUCCUACGGGAGGCAGCAGUGGGGAAUAUUGGACAAUGGGCGCAAGCCUGAUCCAGCAAUACCGCGUGUGUGAAGAAGGCCUUCGGGUUGUAAAGCACUUUCAGCAGGGAAGAAAGGCUCAAGGCCAAUACCCUUGAGAAAUGACGUUACCUGCAGAAGAAGCACCGGCUAACUCUGUGCCAGCAGCCGCGGUAAUACAGAGGGUGCGAGCGUUAAUCGGAAUUACUGGGCGUAAAGCGCGCGUAGGCGGGCAUUUAAGUCGGAUGUGA
Molecule: ribosomal RNA, 544 nt
Filed under: uncultured bacterium
Lineage: Bacteria
Description: bacterial SSU rRNA
Rfam family: Bacterial small subunit ribosomal RNA
Source: RNAcentral